Molecule: ribosomal RNA, 429 nt
Filed under: uncultured archaeon
Lineage: Archaea
Description: bacterial SSU rRNA
Rfam family: Archaeal small subunit ribosomal RNA
Source: RNAcentral
CACCAGCCCCUCGAGUGGUGGGGAUGAUUAUUUGGCCUAAAGCGUCCGUAGCCGGCCGGGUAAGUCUCCCGUUAAAUCCAGCGUCUCAAGCGUUGGACUGCGGGAGAUACUGCCUGGCUAGAGAGUGGGAGAGGUGUACGGUAUUCUGGGGGUAGGGGCGAAAUCCUUUGAUCCCCGGAGGACCACCAGUGGCGAAGGCUGUACACUAGAACAUGUCUGACGGUCAGGGACGAAAGCUGGGGUAGCGAACCGGAUUAGAUACCCGGGUAGUCCCAGCCGUAAACGGUGCAUGCUAGGUGUUGGGUUGGCCACGAGCCACCCCAGUGCCGCAGGGAAGCCGUUAAGCAUGCCGCCUGGGAAGUACGAUCGCAAGAUUGAAACUUAAAGGAAUUGGCGAGGGAGCACCACCAGGCGUGAAGCCUGCGGUUU